AAGUGGUAUAUAAUAGAGGCUUACCAUCUUCUCAUUGGAGACAGCAGCAUAACAGCACUUUCACUCUGUUUUCUCUGCCACUGUGAAUAUGGUUCUUUACUUUGGGACAAAAUUUGGCUCUACGGCUUAACCCAAAGUAAAUGCAGUACUCCAGGACUGAAGACCUGGCCUGGGCAGCUAACAGACAACAUAAUCAAGACAAGAGUUCCUGACACAGAGACUGAGAAAAUGAUUCCAGGCUCCUCUGUUUAGUU
Molecule: long non-coding RNA, 254 nt
Filed under: Dromaius novaehollandiae (emu)
Lineage: Eukaryota; Metazoa; Chordata; Aves; Casuariiformes; Dromaiidae
Description: lncRNA (ENSDNVG00000017114.1)
Source: RNAcentral